GUUUUGGCACACAAGACCCCAUAAUUUAAUUUUUCUUAAUUUUGUAAACCAACCACAACACUUAUUAGGCUUCUUGGUGCUUGUGCUGUAACAGAAGAGAGUAUGUAUGUGUGUAAAUAAAGAAAUGUAAAUCAUGCCAUGUUACAAUGGCCCCUUUCCACUGCUGGUAUGCUUCACCACGAUACAUUGCAUAAGCUUCUUCCCGUAGCAAGCUAUAUUGCAGCAAAAUUGACGCUUGAAAACCGGCAUUAUACAACACUCAACAAUGGUUGUGCCUUCCGCACUACGAAGGCAAAGCAUUUCAGCAUCCAAAAUUUCAGCUGUCCUUAUAAUUAAUUGCCUCUAUGAGGUACGUGGCUGUGUUGCAAAGAUACCCGAAUUCUCAUGCAUGCCCAAAAAAUAGUUUGUUGGGUGUAUUUCUGCUUGGUAAUGAAGACGGCUAUAACAGUGCACAUUGGUGACACAACAGUGGCCAAAUGCUCAGAUUUCUUUUAAGUAGAGUGCUGUGUGCUUUUAUGACUUUGGUGAAGUUAGCAUCUGAAUUUGCCAUACACACGCCUGCAAGUUAUCUAUUUAUUAAACUCACGCACACAUAAUAUCACUAUAAUGAGAAAUGCAUAGUGUUUUAGCUGUUCCCUGCAGUAUGUUUUCUGACAACUGCUUUGAUGAUGGAUGGAUGGAUGAAUAAAUUUCUUGCGGUCCGUUGGUACAUGCGAUUGGUGCGCAGCGGGCCAAUCCCACGUCGGGACAGAGAGGCCAUGCCCCUCCGCCGCGUCGCAGGCUCGAUGGACAACCCAGAGCUGUGCUUCAAGGUCCGAGCUGUGUGGAGCUUGGUCCCACUCUCCCUUGGUGGUCCCGGCACCAGGGGGCAAGCCCAGAGCAUGUGAUCAAGGCUAGCUACAUCCUUACAGUAGAGACACGCAUUGUGAGGGUGCGCAUCCGGAAAGAUUUUGUGCAGGAAGGCCGGGCAUGGAUCCACUGGCCACUGUAAUCACCAUGGCGGGAACGCUAGGCCUAGGUAUGCUAUUACGGUUCUUGCCAUUCAGUGCUGUCUUUUUCAUUGAAAGAAUUCACCGCUGUCAGCAAUGGUACCCACUCUGCCUCUGCAAUCCUCGUAAAGCACGGCGCGUUGCAUAUUGCUGGUCCUCGAAAGGCAGCUUUGCCUCAGCACAGUGAUGCUACGCGGUGAAGUGUAUGGGACGCAGCACAUAUACGUGCACUUGCCGUCUCCUGUCACAGUGCAAGCACCUAUAUGCCUAAUAAGUGUACUGGCAGACCUUCAGAGCUUUUUCGGACGUGCCUGUGGCGAUUUGGGCCCUUAAGGGCAGUAAAAGACAUGCAUUCAUUUUUUUCGGACAUUGUAGCGGCCCUUAGGGACUCUGAAAAAUCGGACUGUACAACUGAUCAAAAGGAUGCUUCAAAUGGUCCAUGGGGCGAACACGCAGUGGAACGAGGACAAGAAUAGGAAGGACCAUUGCUUUGAGGAAUGACUGGGAAAGGAACUGUGCCGCCGCCUCUUUGAAGGAGCUUGAGCUCAAAAAGCAAAGUGUUGGCUGACACUAAGAUGCAGGUUACCCACAUCCACACCAAAAUAAACCCCUUAAACAGUGCAGUGAAAUGCAACACUGAGGCAUUAUGUGCAGUCUGAGAGUAUCUCAGGACAGUUGAGGUUGACUUUCCAGUUGCUUGGAGAAUCUGAUAUGUGACAAAGUUCGGGCAUAAUACCAAUGAGCUUGCUAUCAGUUGAUACAAAUAGCUCUAUUUGCUUUUGUAUGCAUCUCUUUUUAUUCGCAUUUUAAAAUGUUCGACUAUUUGCCCUGAGCUAGACCACUUUUUUUUUUUACAGUGAAGCUGUCUAUUGCGAGGAUCUGGCGGAUCGCAUCCGCGCAUAGACCAACAAUUUUUCAUACGAUGGGCCGAUCCUGAAGAAAUUGCAAUACCAGGCCAACCCGAGGCAGAAGUGAAGCAAGCAUUAAGCACUCCCCAUAUGUGGGCUGAUCCCGAAGGUCGUGAAAUGCCAGUCCAACCUGCGGCGGAGAUGAAGCAGGCUUUAAGCACUCCCCACACAUGGGCCAAUCCCAUAGGUAGUGCAAUACCAGGCUGACCCGCAGCAGAGGUGCAGUUCACCAUUAAGGGGCCCACAUACGCAGCUUCGCUGGUCAGCCUUCACAGAGUAAAGGGGCACCGGGUUUCUUUCGAAGAUAUUUUAGUAGCUGUGCAUUUUACAAACCCCUCGUUUCAGUUUUCUAUUUUGAAUAAAAUAAACACUACUCCUUACUGUUCAAA
This is a non-coding RNA of Dermacentor albipictus, 2286 nucleotides long. NCBI's taxonomy places the organism in Eukaryota, Metazoa, Arthropoda, Arachnida, Ixodida, Ixodidae. The record is from RefSeq and is a predicted model, not a curated record.